RNAcentral lists this long non-coding RNA (284 nucleotides) under Solanum melongena (eggplant). RNAcentral describes it as "long non-coding RNA (SMEL_LNC000124)". Lineage: Eukaryota; Viridiplantae; Streptophyta; Magnoliopsida; Solanales; Solanaceae. The record is from RNAcentral.
ACAAAUACAAAAUAGAUGAAAACUUUCCCGGAUUACUGAACUGCUUUUUUAUUGUACUUGCACCUUGAGUUCUGUUUUCCUUAAUUUUUCCUAAAAGUCAAAGAAAUCCUAAUCCUUCUUCCCUUUUGAUUGGGUUUGAUUCAUCCUUUCAAUUUCGAUUGAGUCUAUCUCCAAAUUCAUAAUGUUCAAAACUUUCUCUUACACCUUAGCUCCAUGGAAGAAUAUGUUACUGUUGUCGCAUGGAUGAUAGAAUUCCUCCUGGAAGCGAAGGCAGGAGCAAAGCC